GACGAACGCUGGCGGCGUGCCUAAUACAUGCAAGUCGAACGCUUCUUUUUCCACCGGAGCUUGCUCCACCGGAAAAAGAGGAGUGGCGAACGGGUGAGUAACACGUGGGUAACCUGCCCAUCAGAAGGGGAUAACACUUGGAAACAGGUGCUAAUACCGUAUAACAAUCGAAACCGCAUGGUUUUGGUUUGAAAGGCGCUUUCGGGUGUCGCUGAUGUAUUGACCCGCGGUGCAUUAGCUAGUUGGGUAGGUAACGGCUCACCAAGGCCACGAUGCAUAGCCGACCGGAGAGGGUGAUCGGCCACAUUGGGACUGAGACACAGCCCAAACUCCUACGGGAGGCAGCAGUAGGGAAUCUUCGGCAAUGGACGAAAGUCUGACCGAGCAACGCCGCGUGAGUGAAGAAGGUUUUCGGAUCGUAAAACUCUGUUGUUAGAGAAGAACAAGGAUGAGAGUAACUGUUCAUCCCUUGACGGUAUCUAACCAGAAAGCCACGGCUAACUACGUGCCAGCCGCCGCCGUAA
RNAcentral lists this ribosomal RNA (524 nucleotides) under uncultured bacterium. Its description in RNAcentral is "partial 16S ribosomal RNA". It matches the Rfam family "Bacterial small subunit ribosomal RNA", at positions 28 to 523 of the family's 1533-position model. The record is from RNAcentral.